This 359-nucleotide ribosomal RNA is filed under the name uncultured bacterium. RNAcentral's name for it is "partial 16S ribosomal RNA". It matches the Rfam family "Bacterial small subunit ribosomal RNA", at positions 338 to 695 of the family's 1533-position model. The record is from RNAcentral.
CCUACGGGAGGCAGCAGUGAGGAAUAUUGGUCAAUGGUCGGGAGACUGAACCAGCCAAGCCGCGUGAGGGAUGAAGGUACAGAGUAUCGUAAACCUCUUCUGUCAGGGAACAAAGGCGGGGACGUGUCCCCGGAUGAGUGUAUCUGAAGAAAAAGCAUCGGCUAACACCGUGCAAGAAGCCGCGGUAAUACGGAGGGUGCGAGCGUUAUCGGAUUUUAUUGGGUUAAAGGGGUGCGCGGGGGGUCUGUUAAGUCAGCGGGAAAAGCCCGGGGCGCAACCCGGGACCGCCGUUGAAACUGGCAGUCUCGAGUUGGAGAGAAGUAUGCGGAAUGCGCGGUGUAGCGGUGAAAUGCAUAGAU